AUUGAACGCUGGCGGCAUGCCUUACACAUGCAAGUCGAACGGCAGCGCGGGGCAACCUGGCGGCGAGUGGCGAACGGGUGAGUAACAUAUCGGAACAUACCCUAGAGUGGGGGAUAACGUAGCGAAAGUUACGCUAAUACCGCAUACGCACUAAGGUGGAAAAGUGGGGGGAUCUUCGGACCUCAUGCUCAUGGAGUGGCCGAUAUCUGAUUAGCUAGUUGGUGAGGUAAAGGCUCACCAAGGCGACGAUCAGUAGCUGGUUUUGAGAGAACGACCAGCCACACUGGAACUGAGACACGGUCCAGACUCCUACGGGAGGCAGCAGUGGGGGAAUUUUUGGACAAUGGGGGCAACCCUGAUCCAGCAAAUGCCGCGUGAGUGAAGAAGGCCU
RNAcentral lists this ribosomal RNA (391 nucleotides) under uncultured bacterium. Its description in RNAcentral is "bacterial SSU rRNA". It matches the Rfam family "Bacterial small subunit ribosomal RNA", at positions 30 to 417 of the family's 1533-position model. The record is from RNAcentral.